UAUAGUUAUCUUUAUUGAAGUGAAUUAGUGAGCCUGGUCAGUACCUGGAUGGGAGACCUCCUGGGAAAACUAGGUUGCUGCUGGAA
This 86-nucleotide ribosomal RNA is filed under the name Sinocyclocheilus rhinocerous. The record is from RNAcentral. Lineage: Eukaryota; Metazoa; Chordata; Actinopteri; Cypriniformes; Cyprinidae.